UGUGUCUCUGUGAAAUCCCAUACAUGAUCAUACAUUUUCUGUAAACAUUUAAACCUUUUCUUUCUCCACGGCUUAACCUGUGCAUACUCUAUCUCUUUACUGUAAAAACUUGCCAGAGCUUUCAUCUUAGCUCAAGGCAGCUCUAACUCAUACUAUGUUAAGCCGGGCUUUUCAUACAUAAACAUAAAUCAUUUACAUAAGAUCAUGUACAAACUUAAAGGGAUACAACUCUUAUCAAUCAAGCACCAUCUAUACACUGUACAUUUCCGUAUCUCUUACAUUUACAUGUCCAUACUAUCUAUUACAUACAUCUCUUUACGUUCUUCCUGUACUCUUCUUACAUCUCUCUGUACUCUGAACCUGCACAACUGGGGAUAGGGGAGAGGGGUGAGCUUCUAUAGCCCAGUGAGCAGGAGCUAUAUAAAACAGUUUAUAA
This 436-nucleotide long non-coding RNA is filed under the name Manihot esculenta (cassava). Its description in RNAcentral is "long non-coding RNA (MESC_LNC011481)". Lineage: Eukaryota; Viridiplantae; Streptophyta; Magnoliopsida; Malpighiales; Euphorbiaceae. The record is from RNAcentral.